This 449-nucleotide ribosomal RNA is filed under the name Salmonella enterica. RNAcentral's name for it is "bacterial SSU rRNA". It matches the Rfam family "Bacterial small subunit ribosomal RNA", at positions 1 to 446 of the family's 1533-position model. The record is from RNAcentral. Lineage: Bacteria; Pseudomonadati; Pseudomonadota; Gammaproteobacteria; Enterobacterales; Enterobacteriaceae.
AAAUUGAAGAGUUUGAUCAUGGCUCAGAUUGAACGCUGGCGGCAGGCCUAACACAUGCAAGUCGAACGGUAACAGGAAGCAGCUUGCUGCUUCGCUGACGAGUGGCGGACGGGUGAGUAAUGUCUGGGAAACUGCCUGAUGGAGGGGGAUAACUACUGGAAACGGUGGCUAAUACCGCAUAACGUCGCAAGACCAAAGAGGGGGAUCUUCGGGCCUCUUGCCAUCAGAUGUGCCCAGAUGGGAUUAGCUUGUUGGUGAGGUAACGGCUCACCAAGGCGACGAUCCCUAGCUGGUCUGAGAGGAUGACCAGCCACACUGGAACUGAGACACGGUCCAGACUCCUACGGGAGGCAGCAGUGGGGAAUAUUGCACAAUGGGCGCAAGCCUGAUGCAGCCAUGCCGCGUGUAUGAAGAAGGCCUUCGGGUUGUAAAGUACUUUCAGCGGGGAG